Molecule: small nucleolar RNA, 138 nt
Organism: Ornithorhynchus anatinus (platypus)
Lineage: Eukaryota; Metazoa; Chordata; Mammalia; Monotremata; Ornithorhynchidae
Source: RefSeq, a predicted model, not a curated record
CACCUCUCAGGAUCACACCCGGAGAGUUUCCAUGACUCUACCAGUCUCACCUGUGGGAGGGAGAGUCAAGCAGAGGCCUACCCAUUCCAUUCCUAGCUUGUGUAGAGGCUAGAGAGUGGAAGGCAAUCUGCUUAAAGU